GACUUGCAUACAAAAGAAGAGAAAUUUAUUUACUAUGUGUAGUUCUUGUUUGUGUGAACUCUUAAUCAUUUUCUAUUUAUUUCAAGUUCUUCAUAACAUUACUGUUGCAGAAUACUUUCACUGGAAUAUGCUACGAAACCUUGUUGGCAUCUAUUAUGAACAAAGUCAACUUGACAUGGCAAUUCUGCAUUACAAGCAAGCUAUCAACUAUGAUUCUACCUUUAUUGAAGCUUACAAUAAUCUGGGGAAUGCUCUCAAAGACGCUGGACAUUAUAGGGUGACUUUUUAAUUUGGAUAUUU
Molecule: long non-coding RNA, 300 nt
Organism: Zingiber officinale
Lineage: Eukaryota; Viridiplantae; Streptophyta; Magnoliopsida; Zingiberales; Zingiberaceae
Exons: 3
Source: RefSeq, a predicted model, not a curated record